GUGAGGCAUUCGUUGGGGAGUGCGAUGAUUAGCUCAAUACCGGUGUCCGCGAAAGCGCGGAGAACUUUGGGCUCCGCGUUGUAGAUUUUGACGCGGCCGACGCCGAUGGAAACCAGGAGGGCGGGGACUUUGUCGGGGGAGGGGAGGUUGUCGGCGACGAGGCCGUAGUUGAUGCCGACGAUGGAAGAGGAGGUAGCGGAGGAGGG
RNAcentral lists this unclassified non-coding RNA (206 nucleotides) under Hevea brasiliensis (rubber tree). The record is from RNAcentral. Lineage: Eukaryota; Viridiplantae; Streptophyta; Magnoliopsida; Malpighiales; Euphorbiaceae.